This 497-nucleotide ribosomal RNA is filed under the name uncultured bacterium. RNAcentral describes it as "partial 16S ribosomal RNA". It matches the Rfam family "Bacterial small subunit ribosomal RNA", at positions 28 to 507 of the family's 1533-position model. The record is from RNAcentral.
GACGAACGCUGGCGGCGUGCCUAACACAUGCAAGUCGAGCGCUGAAGGUUGGUCCUUGUACCAACUGGUUGAGCAGCGAACGGGUGAGUAACGCGUGGGGAAUAUGCCUCUCAGCGGGGGACAAUAAUUGCAAACGAAUGCUACUACCGCAUAAUAUCUUUAAACACAAGUUUUAAGUUUGAAAGAUGCAAUUUCAUCACUUAAAGAUGAUCCCUCGUUGUAUUCGCUAGUUGGUGGGGUAAAGGGUCACCCAGGCGGGGAUACAUAGCCGACCUGAGAGGGUGGGCGGCCAGACUGGGAGGGAGACACGGACCGAACACCUACGGGAGGCAGCCGUAGGGGAUCUACAGGGAUGGACGAAAGGCUGACUGAGGGACGCCGCGUGAGUGAAGGAGGUUUUCGGGUCGUAAGAGUCUGUUGGUAGAGAGGGAAGUAGGUGAGAGUUGAAAGCGCAUCAAGUGACGGUAACUGGAGAAAAAGCGACGGCUAACUACGUG